AGACAUUAGUCGCGACAGUUGAAAUUCUUGCCCGCCUCGGAGGGUGUUUUUAAAAGGUCACGGUAAAUCUUUUUUUAGUAGUGUUAGGCCUUGUUUUUAGUUCCCAAAAAGUACGAAAAUUUUUUCAAGAUUCCCCAUCAUAUUGAAUCUUAUGGCACAUGCAUGAAACAUUAAAUAUAGAUAAAAAAAAUUAAUUAUACCAUAAUUUACGAGAUGAAUCUUUUAAUCCUAGUUAGUUUAUGAUUGAAUAAUAUUUAUCAAAUACAAAUGAAAGUGUUACAGUAUCCGAAAACCACGAAAUUUUGCCAACUGAAUGCGUAAGACACAAUACCAUUUUAAUCACAAGAAGAAGAAGGAGGAGGAGGAGAAGGCGGCGGCAUGCUGUGGGUCCCUUUCAUAGCCGUCAAAAACAGAAUUUGACACGAGUGAUAAAUUAAUCUAGGCCUUGUUUAGUUAACCCUAAAAAUCAAAAAGUUUUCAAGAUUUCUCGUCAUAUCGAAUCUUUUGGCGUAUGCAUGAAACAUUAAAUAUAGAUAAAAAUAAAAACUAAUUACACAGUUUAGCUGUAAAUCACGAGACGAAUCUUUUGAUCCUAGUUAGUCCAUGAUUGGAUAAUAUUUAUCACAAAUAAACGAAAGUGCUACGGUACCGAAAACUUUUUACUUUUCGGAACUAAACAAGACCCUAGUUGCUAAGAUGCAGGCGUCGGUGGUUUUGUUAGGUCCGGACAAUUUUUCCUCUCUCUAUGACGUGUCUGGUGUGUUCAGGAUACAGGAUAGCAAUCAGCACAAUCCAAGAUCUGAUGAGUCCUUAUCAUACCAAGGCAUACAUAGAAGAAUAUCCAAAAUUCCCAGAUUGGUCAAAGGCUCUUUCAUUGCUUUUUCCAUCCAGAAUCCAACCAAAUCCACCUAGACGCCCACGUUUGUAUUCUCGAUUGGUGUUUAGCUUCAAAUUUCUUCAUAGUGAAUUAAAGUUGGUUACACGUGUUUGGAAACUGGUAAUAAGAAGACAGAAAUUCACUAGAAAUUAUUUAGAAAAAAAUAAAACUAAAUAAAAAUGAAAAUCAUACUUCUGCCCCUUACCUACAGGGGGUCAAAUCACAUAUUCGACAUGACACUCUGUGUGCUCACUGAUGCUCGGUAGGUGAUAUAACAAAUAGUCUAUGUUGACUUCGUCAAUCUCAAAAUCAGUAGUAUUUUAUAAGCAUUAAUAGGACAUUACCACAUAAAACAUUUGUAGAGUGAUCGAAUUUCGGUUGUAGGCUAGGACAGUUUUUCCAAUCACCCCUAACUAAACGUGUGUAGAAUCAACCAUUGCUAGAGGCAGGUAUGUAAUCACCAUAAACAUCAAUUUAAGGAGCAGCUGGUAAUGUUGCUAUAAGGACCGAUGUCCUAAGAUGGAGGUACAUUGGACUCUAAAAAUAAAGCAACAAUCUUAACCAUCAAAACCCUA
Molecule: long non-coding RNA, 1452 nt
Filed under: Sorghum bicolor (sorghum)
Lineage: Eukaryota; Viridiplantae; Streptophyta; Magnoliopsida; Poales; Poaceae
Description: long non-coding RNA (SBIC_LNC003550)
Source: RNAcentral